UAGUCCACGCCGUAAACGAUGAGUGCUAGCUGUUGGGACCUCAGGUCUCAGUGGCGCCGCUAACGCAUUAAGCACUCCGCCUGGGGAGUACGGCCGCAAGGUUAAAACUCAAAGGAAUUGACGGGGACCCGCACAAGCGGUGGAGCAUGUGGUUUAAUUCGAGGCAACGCGAAGAACCUUACCAGACCUUGACAUGCCGGUCGCGGAUUAGAGAGAUCUUUUCCUUCAACUCGGUUGGACCGUGCACAGGUGCUGCGCGGCUGUCGUCAGCUCGUGUCGUGAGAUGUUGGGUUAAGUCCCGCAACGAGCGCAACCCUCAUUGUUAGUUGUCAGCAUUUAGUUGGACACUCUAACGAAACUGCCGGGGUUAACCCGGAGGAAGGUGGGGAUGACGUCAAGUCUUCAUGGCCCUUACGGUCUGGGCUACACACGUGCUACAAUGGUAGUGACAGCGCGCAGCCACUCCGCGAGGAGGAGCUAAUCGCUAAAAACUAUCUCAGUUCGAUUGC
RNAcentral lists this ribosomal RNA (509 nucleotides) under uncultured bacterium. Its description in RNAcentral is "bacterial SSU rRNA". It matches the Rfam family "Bacterial small subunit ribosomal RNA", at positions 791 to 1301 of the family's 1533-position model. The record is from RNAcentral.